RNAcentral lists this ribosomal RNA (152 nucleotides) under uncultured Marinomonas sp. RNAcentral describes it as "partial 16S ribosomal RNA". It matches the Rfam family "Bacterial small subunit ribosomal RNA", at positions 381 to 525 of the family's 1533-position model. The record is from RNAcentral. Lineage: Bacteria; Pseudomonadati; Pseudomonadota; Gammaproteobacteria; Oceanospirillales; Oceanospirillaceae.
GCCUGAUCCAGCCAUGCCGCGUGUGUGAAGAAGGCCUUAGGGUUGUAAAGCACUUUCAGGGGUGAGGAAGGGUAACUGGCUAAUAUCCAGUUAUCUUGACGUUAGCCCCAGAAGAAGCACCGGCUAACUCUGUGCCAGCAGCCGCGGUAAUA